UUAAUUUCUGAUUCAAUUAGGUCUGGCUCUAACCCAACCUGAACAUCCCCUAGGCCUCAGGAAUGACAUUUAAUUUUGAAAGCAUUUUUCCAGGCUUGGCAAGGCUCCUGGAUUCAGAAUACCCACUCCACUCCUGGUAAAGAAAAGAUGUCCAUGGGUCCCCACUGCUCAUCCUUGGUACACACCGGAACCAUCCUCGGGGCAGAU
This 207-nucleotide long non-coding RNA is filed under the name Taeniopygia guttata (zebra finch). RNAcentral's name for it is "lncRNA (ENSTGUG00000019758.1)". The record is from RNAcentral. Lineage: Eukaryota; Metazoa; Chordata; Aves; Passeriformes; Estrildidae.